RNAcentral lists this ribosomal RNA (229 nucleotides) under uncultured bacterium. RNAcentral's name for it is "partial 16S ribosomal RNA". It matches the Rfam family "Bacterial small subunit ribosomal RNA", at positions 118 to 347 of the family's 1533-position model. The record is from RNAcentral.
UAGGAAUAUACCUUAAAGAGGGGGAUAACUUGGGGAAACGCAAGCUAAUACCGCAUACACUCUGAGGAGAGAAGCUGGGGACCUUCGGGCCUGGCGCUUUAAGAAUAGCCUGCGUCUGAUUAGCUAGUUGGUGGGGUAAAGCCUACCAAGGCGACGAUCAGUAGCUGGUCUGAGAGGAUGAUCAGCCACACGUGGGACUGAGACACGGCCCAGACUCCUACGGGAGCAG